AUGAAGCAUCUUGACAAUGAUGCCUCAAAAAGACUAUUCUUGAAAAGGAUCUUUGCCCAUGAAGAUGAUUGCCCAUUUGAAUUGAAAGAAGUUACCAAUGACAUACUGAAGAAGUGUGAUGGCUUGCCACUUGCUAUAGUUAACAUGGCCAGCCUACUUGCAACUAAACCAACCACAAAGCUGGAGUGGAUGAGGGUGCGUAAUUCUCUUUAUUCAGCACUGGAACAAGACCAUGAGUUGGCAGUAGUAAGAAGGAUAUUGCUUUUGAGUUAUUGUGACCUACCUUGCUAUUUGAAGAUGUGUCUAUUGGACCUAAGCACAUUCCCUGAGGAUCAUAAGAUUGAUUGUAAGAGUCUAGUAUGGUGA
RNAcentral lists this ribosomal RNA (366 nucleotides) under Triticum aestivum (bread wheat). RNAcentral describes it as "partial small subunit ribosomal RNA". The record is from RNAcentral. Lineage: Eukaryota; Viridiplantae; Streptophyta; Magnoliopsida; Poales; Poaceae.